UAAUGCUGAUUCUUCGAAACAAAAAUAAAUAUCUAGAUUUUACUAUCUCGUAUCUUUUUCCUUUUUUUACAAUAAAAUAUUCGUGUAAUGAAAAAUUAUCAUUCAGGCAACAGUAUUAUAUAUAUAUGAUCUGCUCCGUUAAGAUCGAAGACGCAAGAACGCAAGAGGUUUAAUCGUAAAAACAUCAAGCAAUACGAUAUAGGUGUUCUCCUGAUGCAAUACUCGGGGACACAAAUGGUUGUCGUACACCGUCGUUAUAAUGCUUCGAAGGGAUUAAGCGGCUGUAUGAGUUCGAAUAAUACCGUAUGAGCGUAAACUUGCGGAACAGUUGAAAACAAAAGCACGAAGCCGGUUGAUGAUCACGUGUAGAUACCACUGAUCGUGAUAUAUGAAUAUAGACUACGAUUACUCUUCGGAACCUUGCAUCAGUGUCACUGGAUUAUUUAUAGCUAUAAAGGAAUUCACGGUGCGGUUAAACUGGGCCGAUGAUGGUUAUUGGAAAACUGCAUAUCAGCAAGGUCACAUCAACGAGUAUCUAAGCACCAUAAUUAAUGGCGGAAAGGGAGAGAGAGAGAAAAAAAAAAUGACGAAAUUCCUGUAGCGGAAGAAUAACAGAGAGUUCGAAAAUGACAAAAUGUCGGAAAUAAAGUCUAUUAAUAAUUCGGUUUAUUUAUGGAAACGGGGCGUACGAUGAAAAAAUUGUAGUCAUCGUCAUCGUUAUAUUUGCUCACACACGCGAUAAUUUGAACUGCUCUUUAGCCGCGACGUAUUACGAUUUAUUUCAACAGCGUUAUCAAUUCGUAUAUUGUAAUAAACGUUUCAUGGAAAUGUUAUUCGUGAUAAAAUACAAAGAUAGUACUGUAGGCACGCAGGAAAGAUCAAAAUGAUUUUUCUUCACCAAGCAUUAACAUCUUCAUUCAAAUUAAAUAAGUUUCCUUUUGCAACUCUCAGAAGAAUGGGUUUUCUUAAGCAAUGGUACACGUGUGUUAUAUACAUUAAUCUUUCUGGUACAUAACAAACAAUUCGGAGUUCUUAUAAUAUAUGUACGUCAAAUAAUAGGCUCGCAACAAAUAUGCUUAAGAAAGUCAGUGUUGUAAUGUAUAUUUAUUAACUGAACACAUUGAAAGAAACAUAUGCCAGGGUAGUAUAAACAUUGAUACUAAAACAUACUCAUGAAUAUACAUCAAAUUGUGCUGUAAGUUCUUGAAAAAGAAUGUGAUACUAUUCUCCUAAAAAAGUAAUCGAUUCGCUAAAAGAAGAUGAAAAAUAAUUGUACACAUUUGUAUGAAAGCUUAAAACAACACUGACAAGUAUCAUAUGAAACAUGCAUAUAAACUAACCUGCAUUCAAGCAAUAAUUUACGUGCAAAUUGGAUCAUUACAAAUUAUACCCUUUAUAUAAAUAUGGCUUAUUAUUUGAAGAAAGUGACUUGACUUCGAUGCAUUUAUUCAUUAUAUAGACAAUCCCAAAAGCUUUGCGUUCUAACAGGUAUUAGAUACGUUAUGAUAUAGGUAUAUUUUACUUACGUAUUUCACUUUAAUAGAAAAUUCAUACAUAUUCACACAUAGUUUCUUGCCGUAAAGAAGCUAAUGGGACAUUAUCAAUAUGAUGAUUGAGUUGACUGAGAAUGAAGAUGAUAUCUUGGGAAAAUUUUGAUGUUGCAGGUACCACAAUGCUGUAUAUCUAGCUUUCUACUUUAUUUUACAUUGUAAAUCAUAAGCAAACGAUGGCGAGCGUUCACGCACGACGUUGAGGCAGGUAAAGACGCAACUAAAGAACGGAAAAAAGAACUACAUGGGGUGGUUUCCUUGUUGCAUACCGACAAAAUCCGAAGAGAAAAUAUCUUUUAGCUUGGCUUUCUUCUGAACCUGGUCUUUCUGCGUGUGGUAUACUUUACCGCAAAGAGUGUUCCGACAUGUAGCAUGAGAAAAGAGAACAAACAAAAGGAAAUAGUUUUGCCUUCUGAGAAAGUAAAGAAAAAGUACGGAAUAAAUCCAAAGACCUCUGACGUGUCUAAAGAAUUACGACGGACUGCAACAACUGGAAGAGAUCGAUAUCUUUUUCUUUUUUUUUUUUUUUCUGUAUAUAUAUGUGUGCUUUUCUCUCUAAUAUUCUACAAACCACGAAUUAGAAACGAACUUUCGACAAACGAGGAGACUCGAGGAAAACCAUUCGUCGACUCGUAAUAUACACAGAUAUCGGAUGUCAUAAAGUAGAUCGCGCACGAUUUAAUCUUCCUUUGGCUGGAAAGAAAUAGUAUACAUAUAUACUCGAUGUACGCGGCGCGACUUCGCAUUGAGCGAUUUUCACUGGGUAUUACCGAGAAAACUUUCAAUCAACUGUACACCAAACUGAAGAUGAUAUUACCGAAAACAAUUUCACACUUUAUUUUCACAUAGGCCCCCUUUUUAUCACGUACCUUCCAACAAUCUUUGUAUCAGGUUGUCGACGUUCAACUCGACAUCCGCCAUUUUUUCUUGCCACUGACUGACUGACCC
Long non-coding RNA from Bombus pascuorum, 2498 nucleotides. RefSeq lists it as uncharacterized. The record is from RefSeq and is a predicted model, not a curated record. NCBI's taxonomy places the organism in Eukaryota, Metazoa, Arthropoda, Insecta, Hymenoptera, Apidae. The transcript is spliced from 2 exons.